GCCCUAACCCCUCCCCAAACACCAACUCAGUCUCUCUUCUUCAUCAAUUUUUAAAAUCUAAAAAUCUGAAAAAUCUAGCUAAACUCCUUUUCUAAAAAUCGCGAAGGGAUUAGGGGAAUAGGUUUCUUUCCAUUUGCGUCUUUUGCGGCACCAAUCCUCACAAGGAUCUCCCUCCGAAGCCCAUCAAGUUCAAGGACACACUCGGUUACAAGUGACUCCUUGAUUCCCUUCAGCUCGAUGGAUCGGAGAUGGUGGCACCUAUGGAGGAGGAUGAGUGAAUCUAAAGAUGAGAUUCUCUUAUCUGAGCUGCUAGAUUUGGAAAACGAGGAAUGGAAUGUGGUUAGGAAGUUAAUCAAAUCCUAGUUCUCUCCACUUAGUUGAAAAUGGUAAUGAUUGAGAAGCUUAAAGUUGGAAGUGUGGGACCCAUUCCCUGUAUACCAACCACAUAAGCGGUAGGAACUUGACAAGACCAUUGAUCAUCUCUUUUCUUCUCUUCCACUUCUCUGUUUCUCAGAGCAGCAUGCAGGACAAAGCGAGCCGAUUACAUUUAAUUUCAGCACCAUCUGCAAUGCCUGCAACUAGCAAUUUGAGGAGUGUAAUAUAGAACCCAGUUAGGUGACCUUUACUAUAUAAAGUGUCUCUCAUUCUAGCAAUUUGAGGAGUGUAAUAUAGAACCCAAUUAGGUGACCUUUGCUAUAUAAAGUGUCUCUCAUUCUGUGAA
This is a long non-coding RNA of Arachis duranensis, 721 nucleotides long. RefSeq lists it as uncharacterized. The record is from RefSeq and is a predicted model, not a curated record. NCBI's taxonomy places the organism in Eukaryota, Viridiplantae, Streptophyta, Magnoliopsida, Fabales, Fabaceae. The transcript is spliced from 2 exons.